GAAAUGUUUUUAAACAUAAAUGUAGGUUGGUUUGGUUCGAGAGGCUUUGUUUUUUCACCACUUAGCAUAGAAACUAUGGUCGCCAUGGUUGGCCUAUCAGCAACAUGAUCUUGCACUCAAAGAAGUCCGAUAUUUACACAUCUACUUACUUUCGAUGAGGAAAAUGAGCCUGCCAAUGCUUCAUCUACCAUUUGUACACCCUUGCUUGCAAACCAACAUUGCCAUGCAU
RNAcentral lists this unclassified non-coding RNA (229 nucleotides) under Hevea brasiliensis (rubber tree). Lineage: Eukaryota; Viridiplantae; Streptophyta; Magnoliopsida; Malpighiales; Euphorbiaceae. The record is from RNAcentral.